UACAUGUGGGGCAAGCGUUGUUCGGAAUUACUGGGCAUAAAGGGCGCGUAGGCGGGCUGCCAAGUCCGGGGUGAAAUCCUCUGGCCCAACCAGAGAACGGCCUCGGAUACUGGCGGUCUGGAGGGGGGUAGGGGCACGCGGAACUGUGGGUGGAGCGGUGAAAUGCGUUGAGAUCCACAGGAACUCCGGUGGCGAAGGCGGCGUGCUGGACCCCACCUGACGCUGAGGCGCGAAAGCCAGGGGAGCGAACGGG
This 253-nucleotide ribosomal RNA is filed under the name uncultured bacterium. RNAcentral describes it as "partial 16S ribosomal RNA". It matches the Rfam family "Bacterial small subunit ribosomal RNA", at positions 524 to 776 of the family's 1533-position model. The record is from RNAcentral.